Molecule: long non-coding RNA, 1109 nt
Organism: Solanum stenotomum
Lineage: Eukaryota; Viridiplantae; Streptophyta; Magnoliopsida; Solanales; Solanaceae
Exons: 2
Source: RefSeq, a predicted model, not a curated record
GGUAAGGCAAAGUGGGAAAGCAAAGUUGACUUCGGGUGAGGCCUCCCAACACACUUGCAGCCAAUGGUAGACCUUGACACAUUUCAACCGUUCUAUUCCCCAUGCUUACUAAUCCCUCUGGAACCUGCCCAUCAACAAAUGCUCUUUGUUUGAAAAUGGACCAACAAUGAUCUUCUCCUAAUUUUCCCAACAUAUGAAGAUCUACUGCUAUUAGAGAUGCUAUCCAUUUCAUACGAGUUGUCACGAGAAUGCAGUUUCCUAUGGAUGGAUGUAUUUAUUCCUUUCAAUGAUCAGUUCAACAAAGCUCUUAGUCUUCGACAUUUCAGGUAGACACAAAAAACUCUCUUUUCAAAGUGUUUCUUGAUAUGUUCAUCAUUGAAAAUUCUCUUAGCUAUGAGAAUGGUGCAAUCUGGAUGCUUUGGUGAAGCUUUGUCUGUACACAAGGAACGAUUAUCUUGGGCUGAAAAAAUGGAGAAGCGGAUAACUACACUUAGAGAACCUCCAAAUUUAUUUGGAUGAGAUUUGCGAAAUGUUGCUAAUAGGUGUGAAUUUAAAUUUAUGGAGAAUAUCAUAAAACAAGUGCUACAAGAGGCCAACCAGACACCUCUAGAUGUUGCUUGAAAUCCAGUUGGAGUAGAUACUCGUAUCAAUGACAUGGUUGGUAUAUAUGGCAUUGGUGGAAUAGAAAAAACAACUUUGACAAAAGGUAUCUACAAGACUACAACCAAAUAUUUUAGUAAUUUGGUUGUAGUUUGCUUCCUUUCAAAUAAUGGAUCCUGAAGCAUUUAAUGGACAAAUUUUCAAAAAUAAAGACUUCAAAGUUAACAGUGUUACUGAAGGCAUCAAACUAAUCAAAGCAAGACUCGGGUUAAAGAAGGUUAUAUUGUUCUUGAUCAGCUUUUGUGAUAUUGGAGUCACAUUUGCAAGGAAGAUUGGUCACUAAAUGAAGACAUCAAGUCCAAAAAUUAAGAGCAAUUCCUUGUAGUGAUAUCCAAAGAUGAGCUUUUGAUGGACUUGAUGAUGAUACUCACUUUUGAAGUUGUAUUUAAUAUAAUAUGAAUAUUAUUCUGAAUAUUUUCUUGAAAAAUAAAACAUAACUCUAUUUUCAA